GACGAACGCUGGCGGCGUGCCUAAUACAUGCAAGUAGAACGCAGUUGCGAACGGGUGAGUAACGCGUAGGUAACUGCCUCAUAGCGGGGGAUAACUAUUUGAAACGAUAGCUAAUACCGCAUACUGUGAGAUGGACCUGCGUUGUAUUAGCUAGUUGGUGGGGUAAAGGCUAACCAAGGCGACGAUACAUAGCCGACCUGGGAGGGUUAUCGGGCAAACCGGGACUGAGACAAGGCCCAGACUCCUACGGGAGGCAGCAGUAGGGAAUCUUCGGAAAUGGACGGAAGGCUGACCGAGCAACGGCGCGUGAGUGAAGAAGGUUUUCGGAUUGUAAAACUCUGUUGUGCGAGGAGCGGUAACUAACCAGAAAGGACCGGCUAACUACGUGCCAGCCGCCGCGGUAAUAC
RNAcentral lists this ribosomal RNA (407 nucleotides) under uncultured bacterium. RNAcentral's name for it is "partial 16S ribosomal RNA". It matches the Rfam family "Bacterial small subunit ribosomal RNA", at positions 28 to 526 of the family's 1533-position model. The record is from RNAcentral.